Molecule: long non-coding RNA, 763 nt
Organism: Lates calcarifer (barramundi perch)
Lineage: Eukaryota; Metazoa; Chordata; Actinopteri; Centropomidae
Exons: 3
Source: RefSeq, a predicted model, not a curated record
AGGGGUCAAAAACCAUCAAAAAAUGUCAUAGUAUAGUAAGAUGUCAAAAACCAUCAAAAAAUGUCAUAGUAUAGUAAGACAUGAAAAAUGGUCAAAAAAUGUCAUAGUAUAGUAAGAUGUCAAAAAUGGUCAAAAAAUGUCAUAGUAUAGUAAGAUGUCAAAAAUGGUCAAAAAAUGUCAUAGUAUAGUAAGACAUGAAAAAUGGUCAAAAAAUGUCAUAGUAUAGUAAGAUGUCAAAAACCAUCAAAAAAUGUCAUAGUAUAGUAAGACAUGAAAAAUGGUCAAAAAAUGUCAUAGUAUAAUAAGAUGUCAAAAAUGGUCAAAAAAUGUCAUAGUAUAGUAAGAUGUCAAAAAUGGUCAAAAAAUGUCAUAGUAUAGUAAGACAUGAAAAAUGGUCAAAAAAUGUCAGUAUAAUAAGGUGUCAAAAAUGGUCAAAAAAUGUCAUAGUAUAGUAAGACAUGAAAAAUGGUCAAAAAAUGUCAUAGUAUAGUAAGACAUGAAAAAUGGUCAAAAAAUGUCAUAGUAUAGUAAGACAUGAAAAAUGGUCAAAAAAUGUCAUAGUAUAGUAAGACAUGAAAAAUGGUCAAAAAAUGUCAUAGUAUAGUAAGGUGUCAAAAACCAUCAAAAAAUGUCAUAGUAUAGUAAGACAUGAAAAAUGGUCAAAAAAUGUCAUAGUAUAGUAAGGUGUCAAAAACCAUCAAAAAAUGUCAUAGUAUAGUAAGACAUGAAAAAUGGUCAAAAAAUGUCAUAGUAUAGUAAGGUG